AAAAAAAACCAUCUUGAUGUGAUUAAUGGUU
Molecule: non-coding RNA, 31 nt
Filed under: Gossypium hirsutum (cotton)
Lineage: Eukaryota; Viridiplantae; Streptophyta; Magnoliopsida; Malvales; Malvaceae
Source: RNAcentral